This 2630-nucleotide long non-coding RNA is filed under the name Macaca mulatta (Rhesus monkey). Its description in RNAcentral is "lncRNA (ENSMMUG00000053356.1)". The record is from RNAcentral. Lineage: Eukaryota; Metazoa; Chordata; Mammalia; Primates; Cercopithecidae.
CACAGAGGUGAGCAAGGGGCACUGCCAUCCUUGACAAGCAGCAGGGGCUUCCCUGCUCCACCUGCUACCCUAGGGGCCCCCUGGCUUGGAAGCCCAGAGGCAAUACUUCAAAGGCCUCUAGUUCUCUGCCCCCAGGUCCUCCCCUGGCAGCAGAACUCUGGCACAUCGCUGGCCUUUUCUGAGUCUGACUCCCUCAUCAGAGUGGCGGCGCAGCUUGCUGGGAGGCAGGAACGCAGCAGCUCAGCACCUAUGUUUUGGGGCUCCAUGGCUGGAUUCAAAUACUAGCUUACUAUUAGCUGUGUAAAUGACUAGCUAUGUAACUAUGGGCAAGUCAUUUUUCCGGCCCUCAGUUUUGCCACCUGUAACAUAAAGAUCAUAAUAGUUUCUAUGUCAUAGGCUGUUGAGAGGAUUUCAUGAGCUCGGCGGCUAGCACAUAAAACAUAGCUCAGUGAUGAGAGCCACUAUCUCGGUGUUGUUGUUGUUGUUAUUAUUAGGCUUGGGGUCGGUGUUGUUGUUAUUGUUAUUAUUAGGCUUGGGGUCGGUGUUGUCGUUAUUGUUAUUAUUAGGCUUGGGGGAUGAAAAGAUGUCUUCAGCAAGACAUUUCAAAAUCCACAAAUUUAAGAGAGAUGACUCACAACCUAAAAUUCCAUUUUGUCACUCCUUUAUCUCUCUGCUUUCUUGUCUUCUGGGACCUUCUUUGCAAAAUUGCCCAAGCGCUUACCCUCUGUGGAUGAGCAGUGCAGACACGGAUGGCCAGAAAUCAGACAAGGAAAGGGAAAAAGCUAUAGCCACAGACAGCAGCUGGAAAAUCAGACCAGGAUAUGAGGAUUCAGACAUCCCAAGGGCCAUGAGCCUCCAGAGGCCUGGGAGCAUCCGGGUCUCAAUGACCACACUGACAUCCUUCAGAUGGGCACCUGAGCCCACUGCCCACCCCAAUAUCCUUUGUACCUGGCAGGUGCCUUAGCAGACAACAAAAUCCUCCAGGAUCUCACCCUUCACAGCUGGCCAAGGCAGGAGCAUUUGGAACCAAGACAGGCUUGAUUGGGUGGCUGCCCCAGGGACAGGCAUCCUGGACUUGCCUGCCCAGAGGACCACAUCUGCCAGGGCAAGUCUGAGCACUCUGGCUGGGAUUUUAGGGCUUCCUACGAGGCGUCCUCCUCCCCAGACUGCUCUGAUUCACUCACCCAGCACCAGGAGCAAAUCAUCUAUGCACACCACAUCCUUUCCUACAUCCAGGCCUUUGCUCAUGCUGUCCCCUGAACCUAGAAUGCCAGGAUUCUAAUCUCCCUAUUCAGUUCCCACCUGAUUUCUCAGACUGGCUCAAGCUCCACCUACUCCAAGAAGCCCUCGUGGCUCCCUUAUCUGAUGGCCUGUAGUAAGUAGCUACCGUCUAGUUCACAACUCGAAACCCUUGAUCAUUUUCUGUAGCGUACACCCGCUCAACUGAUUCAAUGCAGCCGACACAGUAUUGGACGCUUUCUACGAACAAGGCACCCAGAGAGGGCUCGGAGGAAGAUGACAGUGCUAACGGGCACAGGGAGAAUCGAACGCCGUGUAGAAUCGUGAGCUUACUGCACCUUCCCAGCAGGUGCGGUGAGCCCGUAGAAGAGCCCCAUUUCUCCGUUUCCCAUCUGCCUUGCAGCCCCGAGGAGCGGUCCAUUCUACAGACAAGAGGCCUCAGGCUCAGAACCAAAGAAACUUGCCACAGUUGCAUCACUAGAAAGUGCCUGAAGCUGCAUCCAAGCCUGAGCCCUGUGGCCCCGCAACCCACAGGAAUUCCACUUCCAUCUCACUACCUCUCAUAGGAGGUUUUUAAUGACAAUGUGUUCAUUGGCUCGUUGCUGCUGUAUCUUUCUCCCUCAGUGUGUGUCUACUUCUGCCGGGCUCUCGCCCUCCCUCCUCACUCUGCAUGGUGCACAUAUCCUUAGUGGCUGAGCAUUUUCAGCUCGCUUCCUUCUUUUCUCUAAAAAUCUCUGCUUGGCUCUACCUUUAUUUCGCCUUUCACACACUGAGCAGCGAUUCGUUUCCUAUUCCACAUCGCCACCUGGCGGCCGUGGAGAGAGAGAACACCGCGCGUUUUUUACCAAGCGGGCAAAAGCAGGGGAAUCCUCACGCCAAACGGGUUUGAAGACCUCUUCACAUCAACGGCCAGCGCUCUACUGGACUCGCGCUUACACUGACUCGGCCACAGUCCGCUCUGUCGGUGGAGGAAAUAGACGUGGACGGCUUCCCUUCAUCACCUGGUGGCUGCUGGGCCACAUCCUGUUCAAGCCAGGGGAAGCCCUUCCUUCGGGGCAGUCCUGCUGGUGCCCCAGGCCCUGCUGCUGCAGUAUAGGACCAGCUCUAAGUCUACCCCAAAGCCUCAGCAUGCCUCUUCCCCCUAACUCAGGAGACAGUACAUUCAAGACAGUCCUGGACGCGGUGGCUUACGCCUGUAAUACCAGCACUUUGGGAGGCCAAGGCAAGAGGAUCACUGGAUCACUUGAGCCCAGAAGUUUGAGACCAGCCUGGACAAUGUAGUGAGACCCCUGUCUCUACAAAAAUUAAUUAAUUAAUUAAUUAAUUUUUUAAAAGAGACUAUUCCUCAUUCUUUUGACAUCAUUUUAAAUGAGAAAUGCAGAAUAUGACAC